AUGGUGCUUCAUCCAUCCACACAUCCACACAGCUCUGCUCUACGUUCGUGCACAUGCCUUUUUAAGAGCAUCUCCCGACGUAGCACCGGGAAAAUAUAUACACUCUUUCAUAGCACGUCGCAACCGAUCACCACCACCACCAUGGCUCGCUCACCUGCCGAGUUCGUCUUGCUCCUUAUGGCAGCGGCAAUCUGGAGCUUCUUCCUUGUCGCCGGCGCAGGGCAGCUCCAGCCGAGCUGCAUAGGGCGCGAGAGGGACGCAUUGCUGGCCUUCAAGCAAGGCAUCAGCGACGACCCCAAGGACUACCUUGGGUCGUGGCGACAAGAGCGCCAAGAUUGCUGCCAAUGGGCAGGCAUCACCUGCGACAACGUAACCGGCCAUGUCGUCAAGCUUGACCUUGGCCAAGGAAAUUAUUUGGCCGGCCAGAUAAGUCCUUCCUUGCUCUCUCUAGAGCAUCUCGAGUACCUCAAUCUCUGGGGCACGGGACUGUGUGGGCCUGGUGGUCGUGUUCCAGAGUUCUUGGGUUCCUUAAAGAACUUGAAGUAUCUUGAUCUGUCCGGCAUGUCUUUCUCUGGUAUGGUGCCUCCUCAGUUUGGCAACCUGUCAAAGCUAGAAUACCUCGACCUAUCCCGCAUACAUUUCAACAAUACGCAGAUGGUCUUAACAGACAUCUCAUGGUUAACCCGUCUACCUCUGUUGGCGCAACUUGAUAUGAGUCUUAUCAACCUCAGCUCAAUAGCCGAUUGGCCUCUUGUUGUGAACAAGAUUCCAUCUUUGAAGUUGCUCCGUCUUGUUGAGUGCUCGCUUUCAAGUGCAAACCAAGCCCUCACACACCUAAACCUCACAAAUCUUCAUAACCUUGAUCUCUCCUUUAACCACUUUGGUCAUCCAAUCGCCUCUGGUUGGUUUUGGAACUUAACAAGCAUCAAGGACCUCAGCCUUGAUAGUAACUAUCUGUAUGGUCCAUUCCCUGAUGCACUCGCAAAUAUGACAUCCCUCCAAUGGUUAGAUUUGCAAAACAUGGGUAACAAAGCCACAAUGACAGUGGACUUGAAAAAACUAUGUGAUUUGGAGGAACUAUGGCUUGAUGGAAGCCUCUCCUCUGGAAACAUAACAGAGUUUCUAGAUAAAUUGCCACAAUGUCCGUCCAACAAAUUGCAGUACUUGUACUUGAGCAGCAACAAUAUGGCUGGAAUUCUUUCCAACAGAAUGGGGCACUUAACCAACCUAUUUUGGUUCGACAUUUCUUACAAUAACAUUACUGGAGCUAUACCGCUAGGCAUUGGGAAUCUCUCUUGUUUACAAAGCCUUGUUCUUUCUAACAAUUUUCUUACUGGUGCUAUACCGCUAGGCAUCGGGAAUCUCUCUUCUUUAGAAGCUGUUUAUCUUUCUAACAAUUUUCUUACUGGUGCUAUACCGCUAGGCAUCGGGAAUCUCUCUUCUUUAGAAGUUCUUUAUCUUUCUAACAACCUUCUUACUGGAGCUAUACCGCUAGAGUUGGAAAAUUGCACUUAUGUCUAUCUCUCAAAUAACAAUUUUAGUGGACCUAUACAACUAGGGAUAGAGCACUGCACUAUAUUAGAAGAACUUGACCUUUCUGACAACAAUAUUGCUGGAGUUAUACCGCCAUGGUUGGGGAAUUGCACUAGUUUGAGGCACCUUUCUCUUUCUAAUAACCUUCUCACUGGACAUGUCCCAUCUAAGAUCACUUUGCUUGGCAAUUUAACUGAACUCGCCCUUAGCAACAACAAUCUAGAUGGUGUGAUCACGGAGGAACACCUAGUUACUCUAAAGAACUUAGAACACCUUGAUCUAUCACACAAUUCUUUCUCAGGUCCUCUGCCAUUAGAGUUUGGAGCGUACAAAUUAGUAGAAUUGACAUUAUCCUCCAAUUACUUCAGUGGGCAUAUUCCUAUAUCUGUUUGUACGUUGAGGAACCUACUUGUCUUGGAUUUAUCAGACAACCUUUUAGUGGGUGAACUUCCUCGAUGUUCUCAAGAGCCUAACCUGGUUUUCCUCCUCUUAAGUCACAACCGUCUUUCUGGCAAGUUACCAUCAUCACUAAAGAACUAUAAGAGUCUAGCUUUCAUGGAUCUUUCAGCAAAUAAUUUCCAUGGAACAUUGCCAUCAUGGAUUGGAGACUUAGUAUAUUUGCGCUUUUUGCAACUAAGUCAAAAUUUCUUUUGUGGGGAUAUUCCGUUGACUAUCACAAAUCUUAAACGCCUUCGUCAGCUCAGUUUAGCAGGAAACAAUAUAUCUGGUGUUAUACCCUGGUCAUUGUCAAAUUUAACAGCAAUGACCCAAAAACAUACAAAGAGACCUGGGGUCGACAUGUUUGUAUGGUACACCGGCUAUGUGGGUAAAUUUGGAGAAGUUUGGCCCAUUGUGAUGAAGCGCCAAGAACUUAAGUAUGGUAAAGGAAUUUUUAAUGUGGUUGGUAUGGAUCUAUCACUCAACUACCUAACGGGUGAAAUUCCUGAUGGGAUAACCUCUCUUAAUGGAUUGUUGAAUCUAAACUUCUCAUGGAACCAAUUAAGUGAAAAAAUUCCUGGGAAGAUUGGAGCCAUGAAAUCACUUGAAUCAUUGGACCUGUCAAGGAACAGCCUUUCUGGUGAAAUCCCAUCAAGCUUGGCAGACUUGACUUAUUUAAGCUCCUUGGACUUGUCAUAUAACAAUCUUACAGGAAGAAUUCCAGUGGGGCGCCAACUUGACACCCUCUACUUGGAGAACCAGUCCAUAUACAUGGGCAACAUUGGUCUGUGUGGCCCUCCUCUUGAAAGGAAUUGCUCGGGAAACAAUGCACCAGAGCAUGACAAUCAACAGAAAAUUGAGAAGGUUUCUGAACCUGUGUUGUUCUUUUACUUUGGACUUGGAUCUGGGUUGGUGGCUGGCCUUUGGGUUGUGUUUUGCACCCUACUGUUCAAGAAAGUUUGGAGGGUUGCAUAUUUCCGCCUCUUUGACAAGUCGUAUGACAAGGCAUAUGUGUUUGUGGUUGUUACUUGGGGCAGGAUAAACCGAGAGCCGAUAGAAACUUAA
This 3036-nucleotide ribosomal RNA is filed under the name Triticum aestivum (bread wheat). RNAcentral describes it as "partial small subunit ribosomal RNA". Lineage: Eukaryota; Viridiplantae; Streptophyta; Magnoliopsida; Poales; Poaceae. The record is from RNAcentral.